AUUGAACGCUGGCGGCAUGCUUUACACAUGCAAGUCGAACGGCAGCGCGGGCUUCGGCCUGGCGGCGAGUGGCGAACGGGUGAGUAAUGCAUCGGAACGUGCCCAGUAGUGGGGGAUAGCCCGGCGAAAGCCGGAUUAAUACCGCAUACGACCUGAGGGUGAAAGCGGGGGACCGAAAGGCCUCGCGCUAUUGGAGCGGCCGAUGUCGGAUUAGCUAGUUGGUGGGGUAAAGGCUUACCAAGGCGACGAUCCGUAGCUGGUCUGAGAGGACGACCAGCCACACUGGGACUGAGACACGGCCCAGACUCCUACGGGAAGCAGCAGUGGGGAAUUUUGGACAAUGGGGGCAACCCUGAUCCAGCCAUGCCGCGUGCGGGAAGAAGGCCUUCGGGUUGUAAACCGCUUUUGUUCGGGAAGAAAUCCUCUGGGCUAAUACCCCGGGGGGAUGACGGUACCGGAAGAAUAAGCACCGGCUAACUACG
RNAcentral lists this ribosomal RNA (482 nucleotides) under uncultured bacterium. RNAcentral describes it as "partial 16S ribosomal RNA". It matches the Rfam family "Bacterial small subunit ribosomal RNA", at positions 29 to 505 of the family's 1533-position model. The record is from RNAcentral.